UCUCUCUGUACUCUGUCCCUCUCAACUCUCCCGUGCAUCUCUCUCCCUCUCAACCUCUCGCACCUCUCUCUCUAUCCUCCUGGACUCGCGAAGGCCAUACCACCCUCAGGUGAGGCUUGCAGCAAGUCCCGAACUCCCCCUGCACUGCGAGACCGACGGCACGGAGCAAAGCUCCGGCGAGUUUUCUCCAUUUUUCCCGUCGGGUUUUUGCUUCAGAACGGUCGUGGGUGAGCACACCCACUUUUCCGGUGAACCCGUACACCCCGAGGACUUUCCCGGUCACCUCCGACCGAGUUACGACAUUUGGAAGGACUUAGAAUCAAGGCACUUAAUCCCGGCGUGGAGACACUUCCGCAGCAGCAUCUUUGGAUCCUCUCGAUGUAGGACCCACUCCUCUAUUCAUUAAAUUUUAUCUUAAUUCUUUUUAGUGAUUAGGUUUAGUUGUAUGCUCUGAGCACGUUCCUAAAACUUUUAACUCUUUGUAUUUCAAAUUUCUAACCCUUAUUUAUUUCUUAUUCUUA
Molecule: non-coding RNA, 521 nt
Organism: Malus domestica (apple)
Lineage: Eukaryota; Viridiplantae; Streptophyta; Magnoliopsida; Rosales; Rosaceae
Source: RefSeq, a predicted model, not a curated record